UUGUGGUGUUGUGUGGUGGUUUGUUGUGGUUUAAUGGUGUUUUGUUGUGGUUUAAUGGUGUUAUGUGGUUGGUUGUGGUGUUGUGUGGUGGUUUGUUGUGGUGUUGUGUGGUGGGUUGUGGUGUUAUGUGGUGGGUUGUGGUGUUAUGUGGUGGGUUGUGGUGUUGUGUGGUGGGUUGUAGUGUUGUGUGGUGGUUUGAUGGUGUUGUGUGGUGGGUUGUGGUGUUAUGUGGUGGUUUGUUGUGGUGGGUUUUGUUGUUUUUGGUGGGUUGUAGUGUUGUGUGGUGGGUUGUUGUGUUAUGUGGUGGGUUGUGGUGUUGUGUGGUGGGUUGUGGUGUUGUGUGGUGGGUUGUGGUGUUGCGUGGUGAGUUGUGGUGUUAUGUGGUGUGGUUGUGGUGUUGUGUGGUGGGUUGUGGUGUUGUGUGGUGGGUUGUGGUGUUGUGUGGUGGGUUGUGGUGUUAUGUGGUGGGUUGUGGUGUUGUGUGGUGGGUUGUGGUGUUGUGUGGUGUGUUGUGGUGUUGUGUGGUGGGUUGUGGUGUUGUGUGGUGGGUUGUGGUGUUGUGUGGUGGUUUGUUGUGGUGUUGUGUAGUGGGUUGUGGUUUUAUGUGGUUUUGUGUGGUGUUGUGUGGUGGGUUGUGGUGUUGUGUGGUGGGUUGUGGUGUUGUGUGGUGGGUUGUGGUGUUGUGUGGUGGGUUGUGGUGUUGUGUGGUGGUUUGUUGUGGUGUUGUGUAGUGGGUUGUGGUUUUAUGUGGUUUUGUGUGGUGUUGUGUGGUGGGUUGUGGUGUUGUGUGGUGGGUUGUGGUGUUGUGUGGUGGUUUGUUGUGGUGUUGUGUAGUGGGUUGUGGUUUUAUGUGGUUUUGUGUUGUGUUGUGGGUUUUGGUUUUGUGUGGUGGGUUGUAGUGUUAUGUGGUGGGUUGUGGUGUUGUGUGGUGGUUUGUUGUGGUGUUGUGUGGUGGUUUGUUGUGGUGUUGUGUGGUGGGUUGUGGUGUUGUGUGGUGGGUUGUGGUGUUGUGUGGUGGGUUGUGGUGUUGUGUGGUGUGUUGUGGUGUUGUGUGGUGGGUUGUGGUGUUGUGUGGUGGGUUGUGGUGUUGUGUGGUGGGUUUUGAUGUUGUGUGGUGGGUUGUAGUGUUAUGUGGUGGGUUGUGGUGUUGUGUGGUGGGUUUUGGUGGUUUGUGUGUUGUGUGGUGUGUUGUGGUGUUGUGUGGUGUGUUGUGGUGUUGUGUGGUGGGUUGUGGUGUUAUGUGGUGGGUUGUAGUGUUGUGUGGUGGGUUGUGGUGUUGUGUGGUGGGUUGUGGUGUUGUGUGGUGGUGUGUUGUGGUGUUGUGUAGUGGGUUGUGGUUUUAUGUUGUUUUGUGUGGUGUUGUGUGGUGGGUUGUAGUGUUGUGUGGUGGUUUGAUGGUGUUGUGUGGUGGGUUGUGGUGUUAUGUGGUGGUUUGUGGUGUUGUGUGGUGGGUUGUGAUGUUGUGUGGUGGGUUAUGGUGUUGUGUGGUGUUGUGUGGUGGGUUGUAGUGUUAUGUGGUGGGUUGUGGUGUUUUGUGGUGUUAUGUGGUGGGUUGUGGUGUUGUGUGGUGGGUUGUGGUGUUGUGUGGUGGGUUGUGGUGUUGUGUGGUGGGUUGUGGUGUUGUGUGGUGGGUUGUAGUGUUGUGUGGUGGGUUGUGGUGUUGUGUGGUGGGUUGUGGUGUUGUGUGGUGGGUUGUGGUGUUGUGUGGUGGGUUGUGGUGUUGUGUGGUGGGUUGUGGUGUUGUGUGGUGGUUUGUUGUGGUGUUGUGUAGUGGGUUGUGGUUUUAUGUGGUUUUGUGUGGUGUUGUGUGGUGGGUUGUGGUGUUGUGUGGUGUGUUGUGGUGUUGUGUGGUGGGUUGUAGUGUUGUGUGGUGGUUUGUUGUGGUGUUGUGUAGUGGGUUGUGGUUUUAUGUGGU
Oncorhynchus tshawytscha (Chinook salmon) is the source of this 1915-nucleotide long non-coding RNA. Lineage: Eukaryota; Metazoa; Chordata; Actinopteri; Salmoniformes; Salmonidae. The record is from Ensembl.